CUGUCUCCCUAAAGCGCGGGUCUUGACGGGAGGGCGGGGAACGGGCUGGCGAUACAGUAGCUGGAGGUCCAGCGGGGAGGACGGUUGUCUUUGACCACAUGCAACCACUUUGAAAUCAGUUCUGGUUACAGUUUGAACUUCAUUCAUACCGUGGGUGGGUGAGAUGUAACCAUGACAACUGAGAAGGAAGUACGUGGAUGACAUUGGCAGCGGUAGACGACAGCGUGGUCAGCGACAACAAAAUGAUGCUGUACCGGUUGUUACGGAUGGCGAAGUGUGCAGCAAGGCUAGACCACUGGACUAUAUACAAAUACACCACAUUGCGUUACGUGGAUCCCUUAUUGAACGACUGCUAUCAGCAUGUUUAUGAAUUAUGGAAACACACAGAGCAGCUUUCAAAUUACAAGGCUUCGCGCGGACCUCAUAGAAGACAAGUUCCACUAAGGCGGACUGCGCGGACGUCGGAGGGAGACAACUUCGACAGAGGACGGUCGCGCGGACGUCGGAGAGGACAGAAUCAGCUUCAUGCUAACAAAUGUCGCAUGUCUGUUGCUGUGUCACGAUACAAGAAGGAUAAAGUAAUUUCUUGUGCGUGUCACAGUAACAAAACAUGGUCAUAUAGAACUUCUGAAGUGAAACUAUAACAUAUAAAAACCCACCGAAUUUGUCAGUAAUAUUUUUUUAUAAGUAACUCGUCACGACGAUAUUCCUAGAUUAGCAGAUAGUUAUAUGUGUGUGUGUGUGUGUGUUUCAACACAAAACGGGAUAGUCUUUGAUGCUGCGUAUUCUUGUAAAUGUGUACCUUAGAAAUAUAUAUUCUGAACUUUAAUCACAUUUAUUUGUUUGACUCUACUCUCGUGAAAAGCACACAAUGAUGGCUAGGCACGCUUCACGAAAACGUUUUGUUUAAUCGUAAGUAAAGCUUGCGCUUAGUGACGUCAUCAAGACUACUGUAUUCAGCUGGUGCAUCUACGGAAUCUAUACCAAUAUCACAAGCUUAACAGCUAGCAUAAUUCCUGGGUUGAAACCAAUUAGUGGUAGAACGGUACGCAACCGGUCGAGGGAAUACAACACCAAGUGCAACAAACAUUUGAGCUGGCGAGAUGACACCCAAACUGCACAGGCAGUGCGCUGUAUGUACUGAGUACUUGCAGACUUAGGUCUACCCCUUUCAUUUUCACCCUUGAAGAAAUCACAGACUUUGUAAAUUAUAGACUUUUCGUCGAGAGCAAAUUUCAUUUUCUCUCACUUAGUCAAUCAGCAGUAAUCACAUGUCACUGACGGCACUAAUGCACGUGGAUCUCGCUUUUCGAGCUCUUCCUUUAGUUGUCAUUGCUCCCUUGUCAUAAACUGGGAAAACGCACAAAUAAAUGAUGACAGUUUCUUAAA
Molecule: long non-coding RNA, 1389 nt
Organism: Haliotis rubra (blacklip abalone)
Lineage: Eukaryota; Metazoa; Mollusca; Gastropoda; Lepetellida; Haliotidae
Exons: 2
Source: RefSeq, a predicted model, not a curated record